This 301-nucleotide ribosomal RNA is filed under the name uncultured bacterium. RNAcentral describes it as "partial 16S ribosomal RNA". It matches the Rfam family "Bacterial small subunit ribosomal RNA", at positions 509 to 809 of the family's 1533-position model. The record is from RNAcentral.
CAGCCGCCGCGGUAAUACGUAGGUGGCAAGCGUUGUCCGGAAUUAUUGGGCGUAAAGGACGCGUAGGCGGAUUAUCAAGUCUCUUGUGAAAUCUAACGGCUUAACCGUUAAACUGCUUGGGAAACUGAUAAUCUAGAGUAAGGGAGAGGCAGAUGGAAUUCUUGGUGUAGGGGUAAAAUCCGUAGAGAUCAAGAAGAAUACCCAUUGCGAAAGCGAUCUGCUGGAACUUAACUGACGCUAAUGCGUGAAAGCGUGGGGAGCGAACAGGAUUAGAUACCCCUGUAGUCCCUGUCUCUUAUAA